CGAGUAAGCCAGACAGUCGCUGCUGCUUUAUGCAGGAGAGGAAAGUCGGAGCUCCAUAGGGCAGGGUGCUGGGUAACCCCCAGUCAGGGUGACCUGAAGGAAAGUGCAACAGAGAUAUACCGCCUAAGUUUAACUUAGGUAAGGGUGGAAAGGCGAGGUAAGAGCUCACCAGCGUAAUGGCGACUUUACGGCUAUGUAAACCCCACCUGGAGCAAGAUCGAAUAGGGGAGUAGGAAGAUUAACUUCCAGGGACGGCCCGUCCUGCUCCCGGGUAGUAUCGCUUGAGCUUAUUGGUAACAAUAGGCCUAGAUAGAUGACUGUUUAAUACAGAACUCCGCUUAUAGGUUUAGUCGCAUA
RNAcentral lists this RNase P RNA (357 nucleotides) under Clostridium tetanomorphum. RNAcentral's name for it is "Bacterial RNase P class A". It matches the Rfam family "Bacterial RNase P class A". Rfam says of the family: Ribonuclease P (RNase P) is a ubiquitous endoribonuclease, found in archaea, bacteria and eukarya as well as chloroplasts and mitochondria. Lineage: Bacteria; Bacillati; Bacillota; Clostridia; Eubacteriales; Clostridiaceae. The record is from Rfam by way of RNAcentral.